CGGGUGCGUAACGCGUGAGCAACCUACCUCUAUCAGGGGGAUAGCCUCUCGAAAGAGAGAUUAACACCGCAUAACAUAUGUGACCGGCAUCGGUUGGAUAUUAAAUAUUUAUAGGAUAGAGAUGGGCUCGCGUGACAUUAGCUAGUUGGUAGGGUAACGGCUUACCAAGGCGACGAUGUCUAGGGGCUCUGAGAGGAGAAUCCCCCACACUGGUACUGAGACACGGACCAGACUCCUACGGGAGGCAGCAGUAAGGAAUAUUGGUCAAUGGGCGGAAGCCUGAACCAGCCAUGCCGCGUGCAGGAUGACUGCCCUAUGGGUUGUAAACUGCUUUUGUCCAGGAAUAAACCUAGAUACGUGUAUCUAGCUGAAUGUACUGGAAGAAUAAGGAUCGGCUAACUCCGUGCCAGCAGCCGCGGUAAUACGGAGGAUCCGAGCGUUAUCCGGAUUUAUUGGGUUUAAAGGGUGCGUAGGCGGCCUAUUAAGUCAGGGGUGAAAUACGGUGGCUCAACCAUCGCAGUGCCUUUGAUACUGAUGGGCUUGAAUCCAUUUGAAGUGGGCGGAAUAAGACAAGUAGCGGUGAAAUGCAUAGAUAUGUCUUAGAACUCCGAUUGCGAAGGCAGCUCACUAAGCUGGUAUUGACGCUGAUGCACGAAAGCGUGGGGAUCGAACAGGAUUAGAUACCCUGGUAGUCCACGCCCUAAACGAUGAUAACUCGAUGUUGGCGAUAGACAGCCAGCGUCCAAGCGAAAGCGUUAAGUUAUCCACCUGGGGAGUACGCCCGCAAGGGUGAAACUCAAAGGAAUUGACGGGGGCCCGCACAAGCGGAGGAGCAUGUGGUUUAAUUCGAUGAUACGCGAGGAACCUUACCCGGGCUUGAAAGUUAGUGAAGAGUGCAGAGACGCACUCGUCCUUCGGGACACGAAACUAGGUGCUGCAUGGCUGUCGUCAGCUCGUGCCGUGAGGUGUUGGGUUAAGUCCCGCAACGAGCGCAACCCCUAUGUUUAGUUGCCAGCAUGUAAUGGUGGGGACUCUAAACAGACUGCCUGUGCAAACAGAGAGGAAGGUGGGGACGACGUCAAGUCAUCAUGGCCCUUACGUCCGGGGCUACACACGUGCUACAAUGGAUGGUACAGCGGGCAGCUACAUAGCAAUAUGAUGCUAAUCUCUAAAAGCCAUUCACAGUUCGGAUUGGGGUCUGCAACUCGACCCCAUGAAGUUGGAUUCGCUAGUAAUCGCGUAUCAGCAAUGACGCGGUGAAUACGUUCCCGGGCCUUGUACACACCGCCCGUCAAGCCAUGAAAGUUGGGGGUACCUAAAGCAUGUACCGCAAGGAGCGUGUUACCGCAAGGAGCGUGUUAGGGUAAA
Molecule: ribosomal RNA, 1368 nt
Filed under: Sphingobacterium sp.
Lineage: Bacteria; Pseudomonadati; Bacteroidota; Sphingobacteriia; Sphingobacteriales; Sphingobacteriaceae
Description: bacterial SSU rRNA
Rfam family: Bacterial small subunit ribosomal RNA
Source: RNAcentral